UGUUAAGCUACUAAGAGCAUACGGUGGAUGCCUUGGCGCUGGGAGGCGAUGAAAGACGUGGCUAGCUGCGAAAAGCUUCGGGGAGCCGCUAAGCAGGCAAUGAUCCGGAGAUCUCUGAAUGGGGAAACCCGCCAGGAGUCAUGUCCUGGCAUUUGCUGCUGAAUUCAUAGGCAGCAAAGGCGAACGAGGGGAACUGAAACAUCUUAGUACCCUCAGGAAAAGAAAACAACCGUGAUUCCCUGAGUAGCGGUGAGCGAACGGGGAAGAGCCUAAACCUGAUAUAUGUAAACCUGCAAGUGUUGUAUAUCAGGGGUUGUGGGGUUCUGCUGGAGGCUGUUGCAGCAGCUUCGGGAAGUUACAAAUCCAACAUAUAGCCGAACAGUCUGGAAAGGCUGAGCACAGAAGGUGAUACUCCUGUAGGCGAAAUGUGUUGGACUUCCUGGGCAGGAUUCCCGAGUACCACGGGACACGUGAAACCCUGUGGGAAUCUGGGAGGACCUUCUUCCAAGGCUAAAUACUACCCAGCGACCGAUAGUGAACCAGUACCGUGAGGGAAAGGUGAAAAGUACUCCUGUUAGGAGAGUGAAAUAGUACCUGAAACCGUG
The sequence is a ribosomal RNA, 605 nucleotides long. It matches the Rfam family "Bacterial large subunit ribosomal RNA", at positions 1 to 560 of the family's 2925-position model.